RNAcentral lists this small RNA (3119 nucleotides) under Pan troglodytes (chimpanzee). Its description in RNAcentral is "retained intron". Lineage: Eukaryota; Metazoa; Chordata; Mammalia; Primates; Hominidae. The record is from RNAcentral.
CAGGGCCCAGUGCACAGGGAUCUGGGCAUGGCGAGGGGAUGAGAAGCUGUGGAUACAAGCCCAGGACAUGGGGUGGCCCCACGGGGGCUGGGAAGGCUGGCAGAUGUUGGGUGUGGGUGCCGCCCCCCUGCAGGCGUCCUGGCGGCCGGGUCAGGCUGGAUUGGACAUCUGGUUUCCCAUCUGUGCCUCCACCCGCUACCAAGGUGGCCAACCCUCCCUUGAGCUGGAUGCCGGCCACGUGCUUUGCUGCACGGGCUGGCGUGGCCUCGUGUUGUGUUGGGGGUCUCGCACCUUCUGUGGAAGGUGCCCUGCCUGGCAUGCACGGUGUCUGCUGCCUCAUGGCUGAGCUUCCAUCGGGCCGUGUGCCUGUGACCAGCCUCCUGGGCUCUGUCACGGCUGCGCUGUGGCUGUACGCCGUGGCGCUGCAGGGCUGUGCAUGGUGUGACCCGAAUCCUUUCCAGGAGCUUCGAGAACAACUGGAACAUUUACAAGCUCCUCGCCCACCAGAAGCCCCCUAAGGAGAAGUCUAACUUCUCCCUGGCCAUCCUGAAUGUGGGGGCCCCGGCGGCUGGCAUGAAUGCGGCCGUGCGCUCGGCGGUGCGGACCGGCAUCUCCCACGGACACACAGUAUACGUGGUGCACGAUGGCUUCGAAGGCCUAGCCAAGGGUCAGGUGCAAGAAGUGGGCUGGCACGACGUGGCCGGCUGGUUGGGGCGUGGUGGCUCCAUGCUGGGGACCAAGAGGACCCUGCCCAAGGGCCAGCUGGAGUCCAUCGUGGAGAACAUCCGCAUCUACGGUAUUCACGCCCUGCUGGUGGUCGGCGGGUUCGAGGCCUAUGAAGGGGUGCUGCAGCUGGUGGAGGCUCGCGGGCGCUACGAGGAGCUCUGCAUCGUCAUGUGUGUCAUCCCAGCCACCAUCAGCAACAACGUCCCUGGCACCGACUUCAGCCUGGGCUCUGACACUGCUGUAAAUGCCGCCAUGGAGAGCUGUGACCGCAUCAAACAGUCCGCCUCGGGGACCAAGCGCCGUGUGUUCAUCGUGGAGACCAUGGGGGGUUACUGUGGCUACCUGGCCACCGUGACUGGCAUUGCUGUGGGGGCCGACGCCGCCUACGUCUUUGAGGACCCUUUCAACAUCCAUGACUUAAAGGUCAACGUGGAGCACAUGACGGAGAAGAUGAAGACAGACAUUCAGAGGGGCCUGGUGCUGCGGUGAGGCUGCCGUGGGUCCCCGGCCACAGCUGCGCUUCCAACUCUUGGGGCUGGGGUGGGGCUGCUGAGGAGUGGCUGGGCAGGAGAAGGCAGGAGGGGUCCUUGGAGAGGGUGGGCCAGGGCGGCUUUCCUGGGAGCUGCCACUCCCUCUCCCAGGCCUGGCCCAGCGGGGACUCAGGAUUGGGGGGAGACCUGAACUCAUUCCCCGCUGACUCAGGCCCUGCUGUCCCUCUUAGGAACGAGAAGUGCCAUGACUACUACACCACAGAGUUCCUGUACAACCUGUACUCAUCAGAGGGCAAGGGUGUGUUCGACUGCAGGACCAACGUCCUGGGCCACCUGCAGCAGGUGUGGGGCAGGGGUGAGGCUCUGAGAGGCCUGACCCUCUUUCCUGCCACCAUCUGUCCCCGGGCCCAGGGGUCCCAGCCCUCACGGGCACCCACAGGCACUCCCGGCAGGCCCUCGGGCAUGUGUGCCCUUCCCCAGUGAGGGGACCGAGGCCUGUAUCUAGGUGAGGUCUCAUUUCAAGAAGGGGUGGGGCUGGGGCUGGAACCCAGGGCCCGAGCCAGGGCAUUCACAUGCUGAGCCGAGCUCCCCACCCCUGCCAGGCCUCCCGUGGCCACUUCCGCUGAGCCCCUCACCUAGAUCCCCGCAUGCUCCCUGCCUUAUGGUGGCCCUGCAGGAAGCCCGCGUCCUGGGGUUUUCUGAGCCAGGGAGGGGAGUCAGGGUGGCUGGGCAUGGGGCCCGAGGUGGGGCCGCUGGCUGCCGAUGCAGGGCCCAGGAGUCACUUGACUUGGCCAGGGGCAGCCGACUGCCGGCCUCUGGAGGCAGCUUCUGGCCUGGACUUGAUGCUGGAGAGAGCAGGCAGGGUCCUCGAUCGGGAACAGACAGGAACGGUGCACGGGUUGGAAGGAAUGGGUGUUCACAAGCUGCCUGGGAGGCUCCCCGUGGGGACCCUGUCUGCACUGGGGUUGGGCCUCCCCUCUCCUUGGCCCAGGCAGCCCAGGGGAGUCCAGGAACCGGGCCUCACCUGUUUCCAGGGUGGCGCUCCAACCCCCUUUGACCGGAACUACGGGACCAAGCUGGGGGUGAAGGCCAUGCUGUGGUUGUCGGAGAAGCUGCGCGAGGUUUACCGCAAGGGACGGGUGUUCGCCAAUGCCCCAGACUCGGCCUGCGUGAUCGGCCUGAAGAAGAAGGCGGUGGCCUUCAGCCCCGUCACUGAGCUCAAGAAAGAUACUGAUUUCGAGCACCGCAUGCCACGGGAGCAGUGGUGGCUGAGCCUGCGGCUCAUGCUGAAGAUGCUGGCACAAUACCGCAUCAGUAUGGCCGCCUACGUGUCAGGGGAGCUGGAGCACGUGACCCGCCGCACCCUGAGCAUGGACAAGGGCUUCUGAGGCCAGCCAUGCCCACGCCCCUCCCCAGCCCCCACCCAUGCCAGCGCAGCGCCAGGGCUCAGAUGGGGCCUGGGCUGUUGUGUCUGGAGCCUGCAGGCAGGUGGGGGCUGCGUCCCUGCUCAGCCCACCCCCUGCCUCUAUCCCUGGCCACCCGCCAGGCCUCCCUCGGGCUGGUGUCUUGAGACCAGCCUGCCAGGCCCUCCAGCAGGAGGACAGAGUGCCCUGGGGCAUCCACCUUCCUGCCCAGGGGACGUGGCGCUGUCGGUGUUUGGAGGCUGCUGCCCCCUGGCUUUGGCGCCCCAUGGGCCCUCAGCGUCUCCCCAUGCUGGGCUCACUACAUGGGCCAGCCCUUGCCCUACCUGGCCGGUAGGCUGCUGGCGCCUAGGUUGUGUUGAGAGGGGGAUGCCCCUGGCCCUGCCUCACUGUGACCUGCUCCUGCCCACGUGCAGCACCUGUCACCUUUUCUAGAAAUAAAAUCACCCUGACUGUGGGGUGCAUCGGUCUCUGGAGAGCA